UGGGGAAUUUUGGACAAUGGGCGAAAGCCUGAUCCAGCAAUGCCGCGUGUGUGAAGAAGGCCUUCGGGUUGUAAAGCACUUUUGUCCGGAAAGAAAUCCUUGGCUCUAAUACAGUCGGGGGAUGACGGUACCGGAAGAAUAAGCACCGGCUAACUACGUGCCAGCAGCCGCGGUAAUACGUAGGGUGCAAGCGUUAAUCGGAAUUACUGGGCGUAAAGCGUGCGCAGGCGGUUUGCUAAGACCGAUGUGAAAUCCCCGGGCUCAACCUGGGAACUGCAUUGGUGACUGGCAGGCUAGAGUAUGGCAGAGGGGGGUAGAAUUCCACGUGUAGCAGUGAAAUGCGUAGAGAUGUGGAGGAAUACCGAUGGCGAAGGCAGCCCCCUGGGCCAAAUACUGACGCUCAUGCACGAAAGCGUGGGGAGCAAAACAGGAUUAGAUACCCUGGUAGUCCACGCCCUAAACGAUGUCAACUAGUUGUUGGGGAUUCAUUUCCUUAGUAACGUAGCUAACGCGUGAAGUUGACCGCCUGGGGAGUACGGUCGCAAGAUUAAAACUCAAAGGAAUUGACGGGGUCAUAGCUGUUUCCU
Molecule: ribosomal RNA, 587 nt
Filed under: uncultured bacterium
Lineage: Bacteria
Description: partial 16S ribosomal RNA
Rfam family: Bacterial small subunit ribosomal RNA
Source: RNAcentral